GUCGACGAACUUACCCUUUGUUUACAUUGGGAGCGGUUAGUGGCGGACUGGUGAGUAACACGUAAGCAACCUGCCUAUUAGAGGGGAAUAACAGUGAGAAAUCAUUGCUAAUACCGCAUAUGCUCACAGUAUCACAUGAUACAGUGAGGAAAGGAGCAAUCCGCUAAUAGAUGGGCUUGCGUCUGAUUAGCUAGUUGGUGGGGUAACGGCCUACCAAGGCGACGAUCAGUAGCCGGACUGAGAGGUUGAACGGCCACAUUGGGACUGAGAUACGGCCCAGACUCCUACGGGAGGCAGCAGUCGGGAAUAUUGCGCAAUGGAGGAAACUCUGACGCAGUGACGCCGCGUAUAGGAAGAAGGUUUUCGGAUUGUAAACUAUUGUCGUUAGGGAAGAUAAAAGACAGUACCUAAGGAGGAAGCUCCGGCUAACUAUGUGCCAGCAGCCGCGGUAAUACAUAGGGAGCAAGCGUUAUCCGGAAUUAUUGGGUGUAAAGGGUGCGUAGACGGAGGAACAAGUUAGUUGUGAAAUCCCUCGGCUUAACUGAGGAACUGCAACUAAAACUAUUCCCCUUGAGUGUCGGAGAGGAAAGUGGAAUUCCUAGUGUAGCGGUGAAAUGCGUAGAUAUUAGGAGGAACACCAGUGGCGAAGGCGACUUUCUGGACGAUAACUGACGUUGAGGCACGAAAGUGUGGGGAGCAAACAGGAUUAGAUACCCUGGUAGUCCACACUGUAAACGAUGGAUACUAGGUGUAGGGUGUAUUAAGCACUCUGUGCCGCCGCAAACGCAUUAAGUAUCCCACCUGGGGAGUACGACCGCAAGGUUGAAACUCAAAGGAAUUGACGGGGGCCCGCACAAGCAGUGGAGUAUGUGGUUUAAUUCGAAGCAACGCGAAGAACCUUACCAGGGCUUGACAUAUACC
This 921-nucleotide ribosomal RNA is filed under the name uncultured bacterium. Its description in RNAcentral is "bacterial SSU rRNA". It matches the Rfam family "Bacterial small subunit ribosomal RNA", at positions 61 to 992 of the family's 1533-position model. The record is from RNAcentral.